CUGCCCUGCGGAGUGCCAGGUCCGCCGCAUCUCCUGGGUCCGUAGGGUUGGCCGGCGCGCAAAUGGCUUAGGAGUGGCCUCCUCGAAACGGCCAUCUGCCGCCGGCCACCUU
RNAcentral lists this small RNA (112 nucleotides) under Beijerinckia indica subsp. indica ATCC 9039. Its description in RNAcentral is "EcpR1". It matches the Rfam family "EcpR1". From Rfam's summary of the family: Perviously named SmelC291, SmrC10, or Sra33. According to its overproduction phenotype it was renamed Elongated Cell Phenotype RNA1. Induced by stress,EcpR1 negatively regulates cell cycle master regulatory genes dnaA and gcrA at post-transcriptional level by base pairing between its strongly conserved GC-rich loop and the target mRNAs. The record is from Rfam by way of RNAcentral. Lineage: Bacteria; Pseudomonadati; Pseudomonadota; Alphaproteobacteria; Hyphomicrobiales; Beijerinckiaceae.